UGGACAGUAUCUUUUUGAACUGUACCUAUAAUUUGUUUACUACUAAAAAACAGUCUGCCUUGAUCUUUUAAGACAAGGACGGAAGA
This is a regulatory RNA element of 86 nucleotides. It matches the Rfam family "pan motif". The record is from Rfam.